This 292-nucleotide ribosomal RNA is filed under the name uncultured bacterium. RNAcentral's name for it is "partial 16S ribosomal RNA". It matches the Rfam family "Bacterial small subunit ribosomal RNA", at positions 505 to 796 of the family's 1533-position model. The record is from RNAcentral.
GUGCCAGCAGCCGCGGUAAUACGGGGGGGGCAAGCGUUGUUCGGAAUUACUGGGCGUAAAGGGCCAGUAGGCGGCCAACUAAGUCCGACGUGAAAUCCCAAGGCUUAACCUUGGAACUGCGUCGGAUACUGGAUGGCUUGAAUUCGGGAGAGGGAUGCAGAAUUCCAGGUGUAGCGGUGAAAUGCGUAGAUAUCUGGAGGAAUACCGGUGGCGAAGGCGGCAUCCUGGACCGACAUUGACGCUGAACGGCGAAAGCUAGGGGAGCAAACGGGAUUAGAAACCCCCGUAGUCC